Molecule: RNA transcript, 2372 nt
Organism: Cucurbita maxima (winter squash)
Lineage: Eukaryota; Viridiplantae; Streptophyta; Magnoliopsida; Cucurbitales; Cucurbitaceae
Gene name: bifunctional dihydrofolate reductase-thymidylate synthase-like
Exons: 12
Source: RefSeq, a predicted model, not a curated record
UUUCGGAUCAUAGACGGCGGCAACCCGCAGGAAACGCGUCUUUGGAUUAUCCUCCGUUUACUUCUUCACCACUUUUCCACAUAAACCCUCUUCCAUUGGAGCCCAAACAGUUAAAAAACCAAAAAACAGCGAAACGGGAUAAAGAAAAUAACCGGUUUUUCAUCCUAAAAAGUCCCCACCUGCUAGAUUUCCCUCUCCUCCUCCCUUUUCACCAUCACUCUACCCGUUUCAGAAAUACCCAUUUCGUAAAACCCCCCAAAAUCCAAAGAACACAGCGCCCUAAACCUAACCCUCUUCCAAUCGAAGCUCAGCCUAAGUUUAUCUUAGGCUUUUUCGAGUUGAAUAUUCUUAGCCUGCGUUUAAUCUCGGUUCUACCGCACUUCCGUGGAAGCUGGGCGUGCGGGGAAAAAUCAUUGAAGUCACCGUUAUUUAGGUUUGGUCAAGUUUUUAGUUCUAAUAUGGCUGCCGAUCCUCUGACAAGCUCGAAUGGAAAUGCCAAUGUCAAUGCACCACCUAAUCCGCGAAGGACUUAUCAAGUCGUUGUAGCUGCUACUGAAAAUAUGGGUAUUGGUAAGGAUGGGAAACUACCAUGGAGGUUGCCUUCUGAUCUCAAAUUUUUUAAGAACAUAACCACGACAACAUCAGAUCAUGGGAAAAGGAAUGCAGUUCUAAUGGGUCGUAAAACAUGGGAGAGUAUUCCGGCUGAGUAUCGACCUCUACCUGGUCGUCUCAAUGUUGUUCUGACUCGUUCUGGAAGUUUCGACAUUGCCACUGUCGAAAAUGUUAUAAUAUGUGGUAGUAUGACAUCUGCUUUGGAAUUAUUAGCAGCUUCGCCUUACUGUUUGUCAAUAGAGAAAGUGUUUGUUAUAGGUGGUGGUGAGAUAUUAAGGGAAGCUCUGAACGCCCCCGAGUGUGAUGCUGUCCACGUUACUGAAAUUGAGACAAACGUUGAAUGCGACACCUUCAUACCAGCUAUUGACAAGUCUAUGUUUCAGCCAUGGUACUCAUCCUUUCCCAUGGUGGAAAAUAACUUACGAUAUUCGUUCACUAGUUAUGUUCGUGUGAGGAGCUCAACCGAACCACCCAUUGAUCAGAACAAUGGUCUGGUCUCUCAUAACAAACCCGAUUCUUUUAAUAAGAACUUCUCUUUCCUACCCAAGGAGAUUUUCGAGAGGCACGAGGAGUACUUGUACCUAAAACUUGUUCAAGAAAUCAUCUCAGACGGUACUUCCAAGGAUGAUAGAACGGGAACGGGUACUUUAUCAAAAUUUGGUUGCCAGAUGCGGUACAACUUGCGCAAAACUUUUCCGCUGCUUACAACUAAGAAAGUAUUUUGGCGAGGGGUUGUUGAAGAACUUCUUUGGUUCAUCAGUGGCUCAACCAAUGCAAAGAUUCUUCAGGAGAAAGGCAUUCAUAUAUGGGAUGGCAAUGCGUCCAGAGAUUACCUCGAUAGUAUUGGUUUAAGAGAAAGGGAGGAAGGCGACUUGGGACCUGUAUACGGGUUUCAGUGGCGACACUUUGGUGCUAGGUAUACUGACAUGCAUGCUGACUACACUGGUCAAGGAUUUGAUCAGUUGCUAGAUGUUAUUAACAAGAUAAAAAAUAAUCCCAAUGAUCGGAGGAUCGUUCUUUCUGCGUGGAAUCCAUCUGAUCUCAAACUGAUGGCACUCCCGCCUUGCCACAUGUUCGCUCAGUUUUAUGUAGCGAACGGGGAGUUAUCGUGUCAAAUGUAUCAGCGCUCUGCUGAUAUGGGCCUUGGUGUUCCAUUUAAUAUUGCAUCGUAUGCUCUUCUGACGUGCAUGAUUGCUCAUGUUUGUGAUCUUGCUUACGGAGACUUCAUACAUGUGAUCGGAGACGCUCAUGUUUACCGUACUCACGUGCGGCCAUUGCAGGAACAGCUUCAGAAACUCCCCAAACCGUUCCCUGUUUUGAAAAUAAACCCUGAGAAGAAGGAUAUCGAUUCGUUCGUGGCAGCUGAUUUCGAGCUAACAGGUUAUGACCCUCAUGAGAAGAUAGCAAUGAAAAUGGCAGUAUAGAACUUGAUCUAGCUGCCCCAGCAGAUAAAGGAUACUAUGUUCCUUCUACCACAUAUUCUCCAAAUUUUGAGGUACGAGCACCAGAAGCUUUGGUUGAUAUGAUCUGCAAAUAAAAAGUGUUAAUUGGACAUACUUUAUACUUUGUCAUAUGUAGUGAGAAUCCUUUAGUCCCUGUGGUUGGUUCUAAAGUGAUUUAGGUCGGUUUUGUAUUUGCUAUAGAUUUUUUCUCAUUGAAAAAAUGGAACGGUUUCACACACGAAUACACGGUCGGUACUAUUAUAAUACCAUGCUACGUACAAAUAUAAUACAAUCUCGAUCGAUCUUUCUUGGAGUUUA